Molecule: transfer RNA, 85 nt
Filed under: Oleomonas cavernae
Lineage: Bacteria; Pseudomonadati; Pseudomonadota; Alphaproteobacteria; Acetobacterales; Acetobacteraceae
Description: Oleomonas sp. K1W22B-8 tRNA-Leu
Rfam family: tRNA
About the family: Transfer RNA (tRNA) molecules are approximately 80 nucleotides in length.
Source: RNAcentral
GCCCGCUUGGCGGAAUUGGUAGACGCAAGCGACUUAAAAUCGCUCGACUCAUGUCGUGCCGGUUCGAUUCCGGCAGCGGGCACCA